Molecule: ribosomal RNA, 497 nt
Filed under: uncultured bacterium
Lineage: Bacteria
Description: partial 16S ribosomal RNA
Rfam family: Bacterial small subunit ribosomal RNA
Source: RNAcentral
GAUGAACGCUGGCGGCGUGCCUAAUACAUGCAAGUCGAGCGAACAGACGAGGAGCUUGCUCCUCUGACGUUAGCGGCGGACGGGUGAGUAACACGUGGAUAACCUACCUAUAAGACUGGGAUAACUUCGGGAAACCGGAGCUAAUACCGGAUAAUAUAUUGAACCGCAUGGUUCAAUAGUGAAAGACGGUUUUGCUGUCACUUAUAGAUGGAUCCGCGCCGCAUUAGCUAGUUGGUAAGGUAACGGCUUACCAAGGCGACGAUGCGUAGCCGACCUGAGAGGGUGAUCGGCCACACUGGAACUGAGACACGGUCCAGACUCCUACGGGAGGCAGCAGUAGGGAAUCUUCCGCAAUGGGCGAAAGCCUGACGGAGCAAUGCCGCGUGAGUGAUGAAGGCCUUCGGAUCGUAAAGCUCUGUUAUUAGGGAAGAACAAAUGUGUAAGUAACUAUGCACGUCCUGACGGUACCUAAUCAGAAAGCCACGGCUAACUACGUG